This is a long non-coding RNA of Salvia miltiorrhiza (redroot sage), 752 nucleotides long. RefSeq lists it as uncharacterized. The transcript is spliced from 3 exons. NCBI's taxonomy places the organism in Eukaryota, Viridiplantae, Streptophyta, Magnoliopsida, Lamiales, Lamiaceae. The record is from RefSeq and is a predicted model, not a curated record.
UCUCUCCCUCACAUGGAAUUUUCGAAAAUCAUCUCUCUCUCUCUCCCAAAAUUUUCGACCAACACAAACAUACACUCAUCUUCUCCAUUACUCAACUCCACCAUUUUCCUCCAUUAAUGGGAACCUUCGAAGCUUCCUAAAAUUUUACCAAACACUUCAAACCACUCUAAUAUCCUUCAUAAACAUAUUCUAUCCACUUUUAAACAAGAAAAUCCUUGAAGAAGAAGCUCCAAAGUAGAGUGAGAAAGUUUGAGUUUUGGUGAAGAACUUGAACACGAGCAGAGCAAGGAAGUAAGUAACUCCACUUUGACGGGAGUUUUUGAGUAAGGUCUUCAGGCUAAGCAAGGAGUGAGAUUGGUCUGGUGCUGGUGGGGGAUCGUUAGAUGACGUAUUUACUUUAUCGUAUUUCCUUUUUAUCGAUAAAGUCUUGUUGUGAAGUUACUUUAAAUAUAAAUCAAGUAAUAUACUCACGGUUAUGUGUCUCCAUACAUGUAACUGGUUCGCCUUUUGCUGCGAUACUCUGCAUAUUAUGUUUCCUUAUGAAAAAUAAGCUAUACCUGUUUUGUUUUUGUUCGUGAAAUUCCUGAUAAUUAAAAAGUUAUAACGACGUUGACGAUUUUACCCUUGGGUUCAAUUAAUAAUAUUUUCCUUAGCAUGCUUUGAUGUGAGCUUCCGCUUGAUGUUCGACCUAUUCUUCUUAUCUUUUAUUCUUUAAAAAUAGUCGUAUCGAUACUCGUACCCCACUAUCACUA